ACAGAGGGCCCGAGCGUUAGUCGGAAUUACUGGGCUUAAAGGGUGCGCAGGCGGAUCGGCAGGCAUCUUGUGAAAUCCCCCGGCUCAACCGGGGAAUUGCGGGGUGAACCGCCGGUCUUGAGGCAGGUAGGGGCCAGUGGAACCAUGGGUGGAGCGGUGAAAUGCGUAGAUAUCCAUGGGAACGCCGAUGGCGAAGGCAGCUGGCUGGGCCUGUCCUGACGCUCAGGCACGAAAGCGUGGGGAGCAAACGG
Molecule: ribosomal RNA, 251 nt
Filed under: uncultured prokaryote
Description: partial 16S ribosomal RNA
Rfam family: Bacterial small subunit ribosomal RNA
Source: RNAcentral